UCUUGUAAUUGAGGCUAACAUUUAUAUAGAAAUGUCCAUUUUCUAUACAAAUUACAUUUUUUGUGUGAUAUUUUUGUAGAAUUAAUCUACUGUGAUAUUGGUAUGUUAUGCAGGGUAUUGGAAUAUUAAAAAUAAUUAAUAAAAUUAAUUAUACAUUAUAGCAAAAAUACACUAAGUGAGGUUAUUUCUGUAUUCAAAUUCUCCUAUAUUUUCUUUAUAAUAAUAAUAAUAAUCCCCAUUGGGUGUGGCAGUUGAGUGUUAGUCAGUGGGGUGCGGCAGUGGGACUUGAGUGCUCCAGUGAAGCUGAAAGCUGUACUGGUGGUAGGGCAAACUACUGGCAGGUUCAAUCAUGCCAGAGAGAUCAAAGUUGAAGAACAAGACUAAUUGCACUCAACCCAUUUGACCCAAUGGAGAAAUAAGCUAAAAAGAACUCUAUACUGGCUCAGUUGUCACCCAGGAUAAAAAGGGCUGUGGCAAUUGUUGAGGAACCUGGGCAGCCAUUGACAAGUGGGCUACAGGAACAAAAUGCACAAAUACAGAAGUAGCAGAAAUACUCAAUGUCAGAGAAUCGCUCAGUCAUGAAAUACCACUAUGCAUCAGAACCCGAAAAUCGUGGCUACCAAAAAACGAUGUACCAAUUGUGGAAACUGGAAUAUCCAGAAUUGAAUAUAACAAAACUGCAUCUAGCAGAGCAGAACUUGUGCCAGAAAUACCUCCUGCCAGGGGUGAAAGAAUUGGUGGGAUCACAAGGAAAAAGUGGUUGAAAACGAAC
RNAcentral lists this long non-coding RNA (772 nucleotides) under Androctonus crassicauda. The record is from RNAcentral. Lineage: Eukaryota; Metazoa; Arthropoda; Arachnida; Scorpiones; Buthidae.